This is a long non-coding RNA of Homo sapiens (human), 5653 nucleotides long. RefSeq lists it as uncharacterized. The record is from RefSeq and is a predicted model, not a curated record. Lineage: Eukaryota; Metazoa; Chordata; Mammalia; Primates; Hominidae. The transcript is spliced from 2 exons.
CUCCCAGCCCGGGAAGGUCAGCGUGUGGGCAGCCCGGCCCGCGCCCCUGCGCCCACUGAGGCUUCCUGCCGGCCCUCUAGUCCCCGCCUGCCCAGCGCUCGGCCGCGACGCCCCGGCGCCGGCUCUCCCAGCCCAGCCGGCAGGACGCGCCCGGGAGCCCCGCACGCGAGCUGCCGGCUCUUUGUUUGGGGGUUUGCCUCUCUGCGAUUCAGAGCACGCGGAGGGAAUUAAGUCAGAGUCCGAGGCAGCUGUGCGGUUGCCGGGGGGAUCCCUAAGGGGGGCGGGGCAAAAGGACGGACUAGUAGGGCGGUGGAGCGGCUUUCAAACUCCCCGCGCUCCGCAGCUCCCCGCUUAGGUCUCCCUGCCCUUUACGUUUGUCGGCCCCUGGGAGAGGUUGGCCUUUGGGGGUUUCCAGGGACCCUAGGGACAAGCCUGUCUGAUAAGAGAGAGGUUCUCCAUCCCCCUUCCUCACCAGCCCCCAUCACUGCCGUGUCCCUCUUAGAGUCCUGUGGAGCAUCAGCUUUACAUUUCCUGGGCCCCGGGGAGAAUCAAGGUCUCUCUAAUCUGAAGCAAAAAGGAAUAACAGAGAGUAGAGCCCAUCUGUUCCUGCUGAGUCCCUGUGAAGGUGCAAAGCUGGCCCUAACGGGACUGGCCCUAACAGUGGGGCAUGGAUUAUCUAUUUCCCAAAGUAACAAGGGCCUUGUGCUUAUCCAACCGUGUUCUUUUGAAACUUAGCUGCAGUGAGGAAGAUUACCCAUUUACCAGGUUGCUAGAUCAGGGAAGCCACUGGAGGCAGGGGACGCUGACAAAGCCACUGUACCGGGAGCACCAACGUUCUAAAUACCCCAGCUGGCUGCUGAGAAGGGCUUCGCGGGGGGCCACACAGGAAGGAGAUGAUUCCAAUAGUCCCGUGAGAUGAGGACCUUAACUGGGGGAUGAAUGCGGAAGCUGCAGCAAAGGAGAGUCUACAGACUGUGUGGUGUAGGAGGAGCACACUGGGGCUGUAACAUUGUGGAAGUCUGGAGGAGAACCUGGAGUGAUGUGACUGAGUUUAGUGUGGAGCAAGUUGGAUUGGAGAAGCAGGCCACCUUCUUCCAGGGGCAGAUAUCCAGCAAAUGCAAUUGGAAGGGUGAUUCUGGAGUUCAUAGGAGAGACUGAGGCAAGGGAUGUCAAUUUUGGAAUCAUCUGGAAAGAAGUUGGGCCGACACAAGAGGUGGAGGGAGAGGGUAGAAAAGGUACAGAGAACAGGGCUGAAGACAGAAUCUAGGUCUACCGAGAAGGAGCCCAUGAAAGGAACGGAAACUAUCAGGAGAAACCAUAAGGGAAGGUCAGGACUGUGCGGGGUGUCAGGACUCAGGAGAAGAGGGAGGUUCAAUGGGGGCCGGGGCCCGGGCUGCAGGGACACCACGGAGGAGGGCGCCCAAGAAAAUAGGUUUAGAUUUAGAAAGAAGGAGAUCUCUGGGCUAGUUCAAGAUAACUAUUUGAGUGGUGGCUUAUAUAAACCAGGUUGCCACUCCUUGGGGCGGGGCAUCUGUAUCUCGGAUCCAAUUGGUUGAUGGGGAGAUACAAAGGUUCACCUCUUUGCUUCCAUUACGGAGGGCCCUGAAGGGCCACCCCAGCUCCAUAGCUUCCCAAGGGAUCCGCCGAGGCCUCUGUGGAAAGCAGCACAGUUAAAGUUCAUUCUCUGCCGAAUCCUGUUUCCCUCACUCUCUCAAGGUGUUGUUCCCAAGAGCACGUCCCAGGAGACCUCCCACAUACCAUCUCCAUCUCUGUGCAGAGUCUGUUUCCUAGAAAUCCAACCGGAGGUACAGGGACACUGAGAAAGGGCGCAGGAAACAAAACUUGGCCUCUAACGGAGCAGUUUAAACAGACAGGGAUGGUUAGAAAGACUCAGAGAAGGUGGUGUGAAGGAAAGAGCCUGGGGAAUGGGGAGCGAAGAGGAAGCUUAUUCGUAGUAGAAGAUGGAUUUUCAAAAGCCGGAUGGAAGAGAGAAGAGUGGAGUAGGCCCGAGGAGGGGAGAAUGCUGGAAGAGGGUAAGGGUGAGGGGAGGUCAGUAUUCACCAAAGUUAAUAACAUUAAAACAGCAAUGAGGAAAGAGAGGGUUGGAAAACGGCCUGGAGUGACUUUCUAGCAGUAGGAGAGGGUGAGUGAUGAAUGAAGCUCUGGGCUAGGGUAGUCCCUCUCCAGCAGUAUCCCCAGUAACAUUAAACGUUUACAGUGGAGAACCAAUGGAAAUAUAAUAUGUAAUUAAAAAUUUUCCGUGAGCCACGUUUAAAAAAAAAAAUCAAUAUAAAGAAACAGGUGAAAGUAAUUGUAAUGAUAUAUUUUAUUUAACACAGUAUAUCUAAAAUAUCAUUUCAGCGUGUGUCAAUAUGAAAAAUCAACGAUAAGAUAUUUUACAUUUUUUCCUACUAAGUCUUCCAACUCUGGUUAUAUUUUAUGUGUAUUGCACAUCUACAUGCAAACACUACAUUUUCAUUGGAAAUAUUCAGUGUGUAUUUAGAUUUCAUAACGUUUUGGUUGAGGAAAUAGAUUUACAAGCCUACGUUGUUAUAUACAUACUUAGCUUUCCAACAAUAAAAUCAAAUGAUCAGUUUUUAAAUUUGUUUAUAUUAAUUAAAAUUAAAUGAAAUAAUCCAGCCCUUCAGUUGCAUGUGGCACAUCUCAAGUGCUCAGUAGCCACAUGUGGCUAGUGGCUACCAUAUCAGACCACAUAGGCCUAGAAUUCUAAUUCCUAGACUUUUUGAUUUUGGCUUUCUUUUGUCCUUACCUUUUAUGAAGGAAUUGGCCUCUUCUACCAGCACUGCACCAUUAACAAGAUCCUAACCUAUUCCAUGUUAUUUCACAAAACAUACUUGAAGAAGGUGAGGGGGAAGAAUGAGAAUCCACCAUCUAUGAAAAUGGAGAUGGGAAUUCAGCUUGGACUAGAAAAGGUAGCACACUGCUAAUCCUCUCUCAUCUUCUCCAGGAAGCUUUCUAAAGCCUGCUUCUGUAAGGUUCUCUGGACCCAAAGUCACAUACUGGGAAGGAAGAGAAGCCUUUGGAUAAACAUCAUGAAUUUUCCUGGAGCAACUGUUCUAUUUAAGAUUUUAUAUAAUAUUUUUUGGAAAGAAGGGAAUAGGUUUUAAAAAAUAUUUUCAAAAGUGUAACAUCCAUCUAUGCUCAUUUUAGACAAUUUGAUCAGUAUAAAAUAUUAAAUAAGAACGUUAAAAACCACUUGGACUCUUACCUAUCAUAAAUAACCACUGUAUUACUGGAUUUUGGUGAAUAUCUUUUAAUUGUGUGUGUUUGUGAGUAUGUGUUUGUAAUCAGAUUUUUUUAAAUUUGAGGCUAUAUUCUAGUCAGCUUUUUAUGUCAAUGGAUUUAAGAAUAUGUUACAUCACUUUAAAUGUAAUGUAUGGAUAUACCACAAUUUAUUUAACUAAUACCCUAUUAAUGAAUAUUUAAGAUGUUUUCUUUUCUUUUUUUUUUGAGAUAAAGUCUCACUCUGUUGCCCAGGCUGGAGUGCAGUGGCGUGAUCUGGGCUCACUGCAACCUCCACCUCCUGAGUUCAAGUUGAUUCUCCUGCUCAGCCUCCCGAGUAGCUGGGAUUACAGACACGCACCACCAUGCCCAGCUAAUUUUUGUAUUUUUAGUAGAGACAGGGUUUCACCAUGUUGGCCAGGCUGAGCUUGAACUCCUGACCUCAGAAGAUCCGCCCACCUAGGCCUCCCAAAGUGCUGGGAUUACAGGCGUGAGCCACGCUUCCAGCCAGGAUGUUUUCAAUGAAAAAAGAUUUUUGAUGAUGUUGUUAUGAAACAUUCUUUAAUAUAUAUACUUGCCUACUUAUUCAAUUAUUUCUUUAUGGCAAAUUCCUACAAAAUGAGUCACAGAAAGUAUUUAUUUUGGUAGCUGAACACACACACACGCUCGUAUAGAUAUAUUCACACAUACACAUACACACAUGUAUACAUACGUAUGUAUGUGUAUAUAUAGACCUAUUCACAUGUACACACAUAUAUACAUACAUAUGUAUGUGUACAUAUAUAUAUAUAAAGUCAAAAAUGUUUUAAACUUAAAUAUGGUUGUUACUUCUUGAGAAGAGACUGGGAUUGGGGAUGCAGUCAGAGGAAUUUGACCAAACCUAUAAUCUUUUAGUUUUUUCACAGGGAGAAAAUAUAUGUAUAACUUAAAAUUAGUUAAAAUUAAGGGUAACAAUAACCAAAAAUGGACAAGAUAAAGUAGUUAUCAAGUGGCAAUCACACAUCAUUGCAAAUAAAAUGAUCUGCUUCCUUUUGCUGAAAAUACUUAACGGUAACUACUGGAAGAAUAGAAAUACGAUAUGUAAAUGUUAAACUGCUGAAAGAAAAAAACAAAGGGAACCAGGACACCUAAAACCUUGAUUAAUCCAACAAAAGUAAGAAAUGAAAAAAUUAAAAGAAACAACAAGAAAGCGCAUAACUAAAAAGUACAAGCAUGUGGACAAAUAUGUCCAAAUAUGCCAAUAUUUGGAAUUAAUAUGAUUUGGUUAAUGUGUCUAUUAAAAGAUGGCAACUCUCUGGAUAACAAAACCAAAUGCAGUUAUAUGUUACUUAAAAGGGACACACAUGAAAAAAUGACACAAAGUUUCAAAAUAAAGGAGUGGAAAAGAUGUAUUAACUAAGGAAAUGCUGGCACCAAGAAGUAGAUAUGCCAAUAUUAAUAUAAGAUAAAAUGAAUCCAAAGCCCAAAGAAUUCAUGGUCACAGAAGACUAUUUAUUUAUUUCUUUAUUUAGAGAUGGGGUCUUGCUCUGUCACCCAGGCUGGAGUGCAGUGGCAUGAUCUUGGCUCACUGCAAUCUCCAUCUCCCAGGUUCAAGCAAUUCUCCUGCCUCAGCCUCCCAAGUAGCUGGGAUUACAGGUGUAUGCCACCAUGCCCAGCUAAUUUUGUAUUUUUAGUAGAGACGGGGUUUCUCCAUGUUGGCCAGGCUGGCCUCGAACUCCUGACCUCAAGUGAUCUGCCCGCCUUGGCCUCCCAAAGUGCUGGGACUACAGGCGUGAGCCACCGUGCCUGGCCAAAGAAGACUUUUUUUUAUUUUGUUCGUGUCCACCCAUGAACCUUUGUGCAUAGCUCCAAAAUGUAUAAAGCAAAGAUGAUAGGACAAGUAGACAAAAAAUAACCCAAGGAUUGAGAGGUGCACUUUCCAAUAUAGUAGCCACUAGCCACACAGUAUAGCCAGUAGUCACUAGGUUAUUUAAUACUUCAAAUAUGGCUAAUCCACGUUGAAAUGUGCUAUAAAGUGUAAAACAUACAUUGGAUUUCAAAGACUUGGUAUGAAAAAAUAAAGUAAAAUAGCUCGAAUAUUUUAAAUAUUGAUUAUAUUUUGAAAAGAUCAUACUUUAGAUAUGAGUUAAAUAAAAUCUAUUAAAAUUAUGAGAACUUAUGAACACAAAGAAGGAAACAACGACACUGGGGUCUUCUUGAGGGUGGAGGUUGGGAGGAGGGAGAGGAGCAGAAAAGAUAAAUAUUGGGUAGUGAGCUUAAUUCCUGGGUGAUGAAAUGAUCUGUAUGACAAACCUCUGUGACAUGAGUUUAUAUAUGUAACACACCUUCACAUGUACCCUCAAACCUACAAUAAAAGUUAAAAAAGAUUGCAACCUAAAAUAAAUGGAUAAAUAAAAUCUGUUAAAAUUAA